This 223-nucleotide unclassified non-coding RNA is filed under the name plant metagenome. RNAcentral describes it as "partial contains small subunit ribosomal RNA, internal transcribed spacer 1, and 5.8S ribosomal RNA". The record is from RNAcentral.
UUUCCGUAGGUGAACCUGCGGAAGGAUCAUUAUCAUGUAAUUCAGUCCCCUUGGCUGUGUUAUAUAUAUACCCACUCUGUGUACCUUCUCCUGUUGCUUCCGCUGGGUGUGUAAUUCGCCCGGCGGAAGGGUAAAAAUAACCUCUGAGUGUUGAUGAAAACUCUGUCUGAACCGAAUAGAAAGAAAAAUGUUAAAACUUUCAGCAACGGAUCUCUUGGUUCUC